Molecule: long non-coding RNA, 1218 nt
Organism: Prinia subflava (tawny-flanked prinia)
Lineage: Eukaryota; Metazoa; Chordata; Aves; Passeriformes; Cisticolidae
Exons: 2
Source: RefSeq, a predicted model, not a curated record
CUCGGGGCGGGGGAGAUGAGUGAGGGCCGGGCCCAGGGCGGCCUCGGGCCGGAGGCGAUGAGUGAGGGCCGGGCCCGGGGCGGGCGAUGGCCGGAGCCGAUGGCUGAGGGCCGGGGCGGCCUCGGGCCGGAGGCGAUGGGUGAGGGCCGGGCCCGGGGCGGGCGAUGGCCGGAGCCGAUGGCUGAGGGCCGGGGCGGCCUCGGGCCGGGGGCGAUGGUUCUCUCCAGCCAUGCCCCUGGGCAUAAGGGAGGAGGUGCCUUCUUUCAAGACUGGGUCAACCCGCCACGAUGGUAAAGAACCCAGCAAUUAACAGCCAUGUAAAAUGGAAAAAUGGGAGAGCAAUUUGCAAAGUUAAAUGCUGGGUUACUCUAAAAGAGAAACAAAAUUAAACUUUCUCUGCAGUCGAGAAGAAACUCUCCCAAUGAAAGAAACCUCGUCUUCACUUGAGGAGCUGGGUUUUGGAGGAGCUUACUCAUAAUGGUACUUACACAGUCUCUGAUAGACCGGAUUAUUAAUUUACUAAGCUUGGUUUCAGGUUUUGCCUGCUGGGCUGGCCAUGUAGUCUGGUACAAGUUACUGUUCUUGAGGACCAGUUCAUGUAAGUUUGAUACUUGAUUAGUGCAAUAGUGUCCGUGUCUCAUUUAAUUGUAUUAUUAAUUGUGGCCUCUCAGGUUUCUGCAUCGGCAGCACUCAUGAAUUCUGCCAUCUGACUCUGCUCUGUGUACACUGCAGGAUUAAGCAUUUUGCUGCCAGCUCUGUAUGGUUUCUUAUGUAAAACCCUGGAAGUGAUUGUCCACUGAGGAGGAACUGCACACAAAGCUCUGGGACCUGACCUGUCACACCACAACCCGUAAGGAAUCAGAUGCAAUAUUCUUACAAGCAGGUCGUGUAGAGCAGAAACUUUUUUUGUGUGUGUGGUUCCUUAAAGUGACUGAAGGACUGCUUUGCUCUCAAAGUAGGACAGAAGAGAUGUGUUCAGAAGAAGGCAGACACUUUGUAUGGGGAAAUUUUCUUUUUUAAUUUACAGCAGAAAGAAUAUAAAGCAUUCAGAAAACAUUUUCCAUAUUUUAAGGGCAAUUCAAAACAUUUUGCAUGGUUCCAGCAGCUGAGUUCUUCAACAGAUCCAUUGAUUCAGUGAUGCUUUACAUGCACAGUUACAAAAAUAAAACUUACAAAAGAGAAGACAUCUAUACUAGUUUUACAUGCAAGUCUUGGGGA